Molecule: ribosomal RNA, 450 nt
Filed under: uncultured bacterium
Lineage: Bacteria
Description: partial 16S ribosomal RNA
Rfam family: Bacterial small subunit ribosomal RNA
Source: RNAcentral
GUGGGGAAUAUUGGACAAUGGGCGAAAGCCUGAUCCAGCCAUGCCGCGUGUGUGAAGAAGGUCUUCGGAUUGUAAAGCACUUUAAGUUGGGAGGAAGGGCAGUAAGUUAAUACCUUGCUGUUUUGACGUUACCGACAGAAUAAGCACCGGCUAACUUCGUGCCAGCAGCCGCGGUAAUACGAAGGGUGCAAGCGUUAAUCGGAAUUACUGGGCGUAAAGCGCGCGUAGGUGGUUCAGCAAGUUGGAGGUGAAAUCCCCUGGCUCAACCUGGGAACUGCCUCCAAAACUACUGGGCUAGAGUACGGUAGAGGGUAGUGGAAUUUCCUGUGUAGCGGUGAAAUGCGUAGAUAUAGGAAGGAACACCAGUGGCGAAGGCGACUACCUGGACUGAUACUGACACUGAGGUGCGAAAGCGUGGGGAGCAAACAGGAUUAGAUACCCUUGUAGUCC